RNAcentral lists this small nuclear RNA (24 nucleotides) under Arabidopsis thaliana (thale cress). Its description in RNAcentral is "snRNA_08634". Lineage: Eukaryota; Viridiplantae; Streptophyta; Magnoliopsida; Brassicales; Brassicaceae. The record is from RNAcentral.
ACCCGGCCGUCGGGGCAAGAGCCA